UACGGAGGGGGCAAGCGUUGUUCGGAAUUAUUGGGCGUAAAGAGUAUGUAGGCGGCUAUUUAAGUCAGGCGUGCAAGCCCACGGCUCAACCGUGGAAUUGCGUUUGAAACUAUUUAGCUUGAGUACAGGAGAGGAAGGCGGAAUUCCCAGUGUAGCGGUGAAAUGCAUUGAUAUUGGGAAGAACACCGGUGGCGAAGGCGGCCUUCUGGCUCGACACUGACACUGAGGUGCGAAAGCGUGGGGAGCAAACAGG
This 253-nucleotide ribosomal RNA is filed under the name uncultured bacterium. Its description in RNAcentral is "partial 16S ribosomal RNA". It matches the Rfam family "Bacterial small subunit ribosomal RNA", at positions 524 to 776 of the family's 1533-position model. The record is from RNAcentral.